UACGUAGGUGGCAAGCGUUGUCCGGAAUUAUUGGGUUUAAAGGGUGCGUAGGCGGCCGUUUAAGUCUGGGGUGAAAGCCCGCUGCUCAACAGCGGAACUGCCCUGGAUACUGGAUGGCUUGAGUACAGACGAGGUUGGCGGAAUGGACUGAGUAGCGGUGAAAUGCAUAGAUACAGUCCAGAACCCCGAUUGCGAAGGCAGCUGACUAGGCUGUUACUGACGCUGAGGCACGAAAGCGUGGGGAGCGAACAGG
This 253-nucleotide ribosomal RNA is filed under the name uncultured bacterium. RNAcentral describes it as "partial 16S ribosomal RNA". It matches the Rfam family "Bacterial small subunit ribosomal RNA", at positions 524 to 776 of the family's 1533-position model. The record is from RNAcentral.